GCGACUAAGGCGCUCGUACUAAGGGCGUAUCGUAUAAGCAAAUAGCGUGCAAUAGGCUAUGUAGGCCGCUAUAUCUCUGUCGCUACUAAGCUAGAAAGGCGAGUUCUAGCGAGUUAGAAAGAGGAAAUUAAAGAGGCCUACCCUACGUAGUAGGAACGUAGCGUAGGCGCUAUAUAUAAGUGGUGUAUAUAGAGGUAGAGGAACCACUUGCCCUUAGUAGCAAAGCGCUAAGUGCUCCUUCGGUGUUUAAUGACGAAGAAGAUAGGCUUAGCCUACUUAAAUAUAUGUGAUUAGAGGGCUAGACCCCCUAGCAACGAAUGUAAUGUACUAAAACAAAUAGAAAAACUAGGUCCCUAUGUCUAAGAGGUUUAUUACCCUAAUUCAAUAAGACGUAUAGUUCUAUUUUAUUAAUUUUUAGAACUACUAUAAUAAUUAAUAGGGAUAGUUGAGAGUAUUAGUAUUCAAUUGUUAGAGGUGAAAUUCUUAGAUUUAUUAAAGACUAACUAUUGUAAAAGCAUUUGCUAAGGAUAUUUUCAUUAAUUAAGAACGAAAGUUAAGGGAUUAAAGACGAUUAGAUACCAUUGUAGUCUUAACUAUAAACUAUACUAAUUAGGGAUUGGAUAGCGUUAUUUUUUAACUUGUUUAGCACUUUACAAUAAAUUAAAAUGUUUAGGCUCCU
This 679-nucleotide non-coding RNA is filed under the name Thermothielavioides terrestris NRRL 8126. RNAcentral's name for it is "Thielavia terrestris NRRL 8126 Eukaryotic small subunit ribosomal RNA". It matches the Rfam family "Eukaryotic small subunit ribosomal RNA", at positions 615 to 1116 of the family's 1831-position model. The record is from Rfam by way of RNAcentral. Lineage: Eukaryota; Fungi; Ascomycota; Sordariomycetes; Sordariales; Chaetomiaceae.